RNAcentral lists this ribosomal RNA (406 nucleotides) under uncultured bacterium. RNAcentral's name for it is "partial 16S ribosomal RNA". It matches the Rfam family "Bacterial small subunit ribosomal RNA", at positions 29 to 526 of the family's 1533-position model. The record is from RNAcentral.
AUUGAACGCUGGCGGCAGGCCUAACACAUGCAAGUCGAGCGAGCGGCGGACGGGUGAGUAAUGUCUGGGAACCUGCCUGAUGGAGGGGGAUAAAUACUGGAAACGGUGGCUAAUACCGCCUACCAUGAGAAGUGCCCAGAUGGGAUUAGCUAGUAGGUGGGGUAACGGCUCACCUAGGCGACGAUCCCUAGCUGGUCUGAGAGGAUGACCAGCCACACUGGAACUGAGACACGUUCCAGACUCCGACGGGAGGCAGCAGGGGGGAAUAUUGCACAAUGGGCGCAAGCCUGAUGCAGCCAUGCCGCGUGUGUGAAGAAGGCCUUCGGGUUGUAAAGCACUGUCAGCGGGGAGGCGUUACCCGCAGAAGAAGCACCGGCUAACUCCGUGCCAGCAGCCGCGGUAAUUC